UACGAAGGGUGCAAGCAUUGUUCGGAUUUACUGGGUGUAAAGGGUGCGCAGGCGGCAUAUUAAGUCAAUCGUUAAAUCUUCUGGCCUAACUGGAAGCUCGCGAUAGAUACUGAUGUGCUCGAGGAUGGAAGAGAGAAGUAGAAUUCUCGGAGUAGCGGUAAAAUGCGUAGAUCUCGAGAGGAAUACCGAUGGCGAAGGCAGCUUCUUGGUCCAUUCCUGACGCUCAUGCACGAAAGCGUGGGGAGCAAACAGG
Molecule: ribosomal RNA, 253 nt
Filed under: uncultured bacterium
Lineage: Bacteria
Description: partial 16S ribosomal RNA
Rfam family: Bacterial small subunit ribosomal RNA
Source: RNAcentral